GAAAAACAGCCUCUCUCUGCCGCAACUCCAAUGGCGUUAUCGUCUCUUGUGCCGGCGUUAUCUUCUACGCCGCCAUGUACGGCGGCGAUGUUAAACUGCUCCGGUUCUGUAUCCUCAACAUCGUCGUCGCCGUCGUGUAUUGGCCUCUUAACUUGCUCAUUCUCUCAGCCGCCACACACCGUUGCUUUAAUGCCGUUUUUGAGACCGACAUCUCUGUGUUAUUCUAGAUCUAGAAGGAGUUCACAGAUAGUGCGUAUGGCACCGGAAGAAGAGAAGAAGACUCAACGUUCACCUCUGGACUUCCCUAUCGAAUGGGAAAGACCCAAGCCCGGACGAAGAGCAGAUAUAUUUCCUCAAUUCAGUCCCAUGAAAACUCCCUUGCCACCUCCUAUGCCGGGUGAUCCUCCAGAAGAGGAGGAGGAAGAAGAAGAAAAGGAGAGUAUAUUUGAAAAUUUUGAAAGGCAAGAGGUCCAAAUAAUAUGAGGGGAAAAAACAAACAAUGAAAAGAUGAAUGGGUAAAAGGGUCCAUUCGAUUGUAUUUGAUAAUUGACGGGAAUAAGAGAGAAUGAGGAGAAGGAGAAGGAGAAGCAGAAGCAGAAGAGAAGUUCUUUCCAUUUUUCUUCUUGAGUUGGGCAAUGGGGAAACUGGAGGAGAGCUAGGUAGUUG
This 666-nucleotide unclassified non-coding RNA is filed under the name Hevea brasiliensis (rubber tree). Lineage: Eukaryota; Viridiplantae; Streptophyta; Magnoliopsida; Malpighiales; Euphorbiaceae. The record is from RNAcentral.